Long non-coding RNA from Calidris pugnax (ruff), 2166 nucleotides. RefSeq lists it as uncharacterized. Lineage: Eukaryota; Metazoa; Chordata; Aves; Charadriiformes; Scolopacidae. The transcript has 2 exons. The record is from RefSeq and is a predicted model, not a curated record.
GCAUGGACGAUAGGUGAAAUGUGCUUCGUUUGUUUAGUGAGAAUUCCAGCUUGUCCCUUUGUGCAGGGUCACUGGAGUUUCUGUGGACUUGUUAACCUCGCCUUCACCUCGGGUGAUUGAAAGAGGCAGGGCUGGAAAAAUCCCUCGGCGUUGCUUUGAAACACUUGAUACUCGGUAUCAACUAAAAGAUGAGGAUUGCUGGAAAACUGUCUGUCUUGUCAAAAUAUUUUGCAGCGCAGGAUGGAGGUACUUCUACCUGUGUAGCCUGUGGAUAAACUGUAAUGAAAGCGGUUGACGACUGAGCACAAGUUCUGUGAGAGCUGGGAAAAAGGUCAAGCUGCAUCCAGCUUAAGGUGUGAACAAAGGUGGCCCCUGGGCUGAGGCUUCUCAAAGGAAGGUUUGGUCUGGAGUUUGUUUUCAUGGCACAGGUGAAGACCUUUGGAAAAGAACUUUUAUCAUGGAAACAAAGUGUCUAUAAAUAUUAACUAAACCAACAGAAUACUUUUUUAAAAAGUUUCUGAGAUACUUCUUCCAUUUUCUCUGAAGAAAGAAUAUGUUGAGUGUUCUAAUUAUAUAAAGUUGUAUGAAAUUCCCCCCUCCAAAGUAUUGGAGGAAACUUAUUCUAAGUUCAAAACCAAAAUGAAAUGCUUAAUACAGUUGGUUUCCCUACUGCCCCUUUUAUAUGCACACUGUGUGUAUUGCAGGGGUUUGAGAAGUCUUGAGAACUGAAAAUGAAUGAAAAUGUUUCACAGGCCAAAUAUUUAAGUGUCCUGUCACAAUGGUAAAUAAACUUUAAAUAACAUCUUUGCAGAGUACAGCUUUUCUUAAACAAGCAGCAACAACAAAAAAAAUACUUUUAGGACAGUAAAAAAAAAAGUAAAUCAGCUUUAAAAAUGCAUAUUUAAACUAAGGAUUUGGUUUUGUUCUCUUUGUAAUGGAAGAAGCAACUGUUACAUUUUGAUGAAGCGAUACUAAGUCUUAGCUGAAGAAUUUUUAUUAUGUGUUUCUGUGAAUAAAGCUGUCAGCUACCCGUUAGAGAUGUCAUUGAUUAGAAAUACUGCCUACAGACACAGUGUAUGGAAUCCUCUCUUUUUGGAGUCCUUAACGGAGCGGAGCAGCAAAAGUGGUCUGAGUUUGGUUGUGAGGGUGGGAAGCUGCCCUGUAGGAUCCCUGGUCGCUCUCCUGAUGGAACAUCAAAAUAUUCUCCAUUCUUAUCUGUAUGCUCUGGUUUUUAAAGCUCAAGCACAAAAAAGUUAAUAUUGUGAGUAAUCACUGUAAUCGCUACGGUUAAUGUUUGAUUUUUGUACAUGGUUUACAUGUUUGUCUGGUUUCUUCAUUGCUCAAAGUAACCUGUUGUUAACUACAUAAAAAGGAGAUUCUAAAUACGGGUUUGCGUGUUGAAGCUGAUCAUGUCAGAAUCCUGGGGCAAACUCUAAAAUACUAAAAACACUCACUAUAGAAACUGUUCAGUUAUUACCGAGCCCGAGUUAGGUUUUGAUGUGCUUCUAUAUGAUUAUCUUUAAUGUAUUUUCUGAUCUAGCCUUAAAAAUUAUUUAAUGUAACUGCAAUUUGGCCAAUUAGGUGACUUCAGCCACGGUUUGUUGAUGGUUCUCAAUGUUUUGUUUUUGGUUUUUUUGUUAAUGUGAAUACUGCAGCCUUGCAUCAAUUCAAGUUUCAUAUGAAGGACUCCUGUACAUUAAGCAUAUACAUCAUGUGUGAAACGCUGUUGUGUUCUAUGCUUAAAAUUGCUGGAUAGCUGAGCAUUUGCUGAAAUGAGCUGCUGAUUGUUGGGUGGUUGGUUUUUUUUUUUUGUGGCUUAUAAUACUCCUUUGUAGAUCUGCUGGUAUCUUGUUUGUCCCUCCUGCAUCUGGACAAUGCAUUCCUUCAUGGUUUGUGUAACAUCCUCUUCAGUGAUUUCUGUGUAUGCAGAUACGGUAACUGGAAGGAGAAAAUUCUGUUCUUGAAUCGUCCCACUUCCCCACACCCUGGCAUAGCUGGGGUGUUGGUCAUUAAGGGGAAUUUAGAGCAGUAUUGAUUGUUGGUAUCCAGGAAUUCUGGGGAAAAGGGACAAAAAUGAGCAUUAGGAAACUGUAAAUUUUCUGGCAACACAGAUUUAUACUUUGAGACCCUUAAGAUCAAUGGGGGAGUGCUAUAGGCAGAAUGAAA